CCUACGGGAGGCAGCAGUGAGGAAUAUUGGUCAAUGGUCGGGAGCCUGAACCAGCCAAGCCGCGUGAGGGAUGAAGGUACAGAGUAUCGUAAACCUCUUUUGUCAGGGAACAAAGGCGGGGACGUGUCCCCGGAUGAGUGUACCUGAAGAAAAAGCAUCGGCUAACUCCGUGCCAGCAGCCGCGGUAAUACGGAGGCUGCGCGCGUUAUCCGGAUUUAUUGGGUUUAAAGGGUGCGCAGGCGGUCUGUUAAGUCAGCGGUCAAAGCCCGGGGCUCAACCCCGGCCCGCCGUUGAAACUGGCAGUCUCGAGUUGGAGAGAAGUAUGCGGAAUGCGCGGUGUAGCGGUGAAAUGCAUAGAUAUCGCGCAGAACUCCGAUUGCGAAGGCAGCAUGCCGGCUCCACACUGACGCUGAGGCACGAAAGCGUGGGUAUCGAACAGGAUUAGAUACCCUUGUAGUC
RNAcentral lists this ribosomal RNA (459 nucleotides) under uncultured bacterium. RNAcentral describes it as "partial 16S ribosomal RNA". It matches the Rfam family "Bacterial small subunit ribosomal RNA", at positions 338 to 795 of the family's 1533-position model. The record is from RNAcentral.